CUGCAGCCAAUUUAGCCGACGGUCCCCCUCCCCUUGGGGGCCUCGUGUGCAGUGGCUGCGACGGCAGCCUCCUUGGCAGUGUCCGCGGCUGGCUGCUUGCACCAAUAGCCUUGAGGAACCUUCCACGCAGCC
RNAcentral lists this small nucleolar RNA (132 nucleotides) under Dasypus novemcinctus (nine-banded armadillo). RNAcentral describes it as "Small nucleolar RNA SNORA70 (ENSDNOG00000030293.2)". It matches the Rfam family "Small nucleolar RNA SNORA70". From Rfam's summary of the family: snoRNA U70 seems to be exclusive to mammals and is a member of the H/ACA class of snoRNA which contain H (ANANNA) and ACA box motifs. H/ACA box snoRNAs are involved in the conversion of uridines to pseudouridines (5-ribosyluracil) a constituent of structural RNAs (transfer, ribosomal, small nuclear, and small nucleolar). Lineage: Eukaryota; Metazoa; Chordata; Mammalia; Cingulata; Dasypodidae. The record is from RNAcentral.